Molecule: RNA transcript, 6165 nt
Organism: Tupaia belangeri chinensis (Chinese tree shrew)
Lineage: Eukaryota; Metazoa; Chordata; Mammalia; Scandentia; Tupaiidae
Gene: PITPNC1
Gene name: phosphatidylinositol transfer protein cytoplasmic 1
Exons: 10
Source: RefSeq, a predicted model, not a curated record
CUCGCUCGCGCUCGCUCCUCCCGCACCCACCUCCCCGGCCCCAGGCUCUCUGCAGCUAGGCGCUGACUCUCCGUCCCCGGCGAGGUGGCUGCAAACUCGCGGGCACGCACGGAGCUCGGGGAGCCCAGGGACUCGGGGGAGGGGACGCGCGCGGAAGGCGCCAGCUUCCUUUCGCCCGCCCCUGGCAGCAGCGAGUCGCGGUUGGAGGCACCCGGGGCCCCAGCCGACAGAGCCGGGCGGCGGCGGCGGCGGCUGCAGCUUCCCUUUUCUCCAGGCGAGUCGUGGAGCGGCUCAGGGACUGGCCCUAAAAAGAGCAGGAAAUCUUGUUUACCGCCUGCGGAGAGGAGCCGAUCGAGCCUUUGUCUGGAAAGUCAGCAUCUCCGGCUGCAAUGUGUUCCUGGUGACAUUAGCGUUGGGCAGACUGGCCAGGGGAGGGGGGUCGCCAGGUUCUAGUCUGCUUACGGAGGCGACUGAAGCGGGUGACUUUUGUGCAGUCGUUUUUAUAUUUGGGGAGCUCCCUUUUUUCCUCCCUCGUCCGCUGCCGGGCAUGUCCUGAUCUGGCGGCCGCUCCUACCGCCCCGGGCUGCCGAUCCGAGCCGUCUCCACCGGUCUCCCUCCCUGACUUUGCAACACCGCGUUCCAGGAGGACCGACCACGGCGAGGAAGGAGGCGGGGAGCCGCGAACACCGGGACCCAAACCUUGACAUGCUCUCGGGCGGAAAGGGGGCAGCCAGGAGCUGAGCGCACCGUCAGUGCUGCUUUGCCGGCCGGCUCCCAGCGCCGGGCUCCGGGCGCCCUGCCCUGCGCCUGGGCGGCAGCCUCGUUGGUCUGGGGGGCGCACCCCCGCCCCCUGCUUCGCGCUCCGGGAGUCCGCGGCCGGCAGGACCAUGCUGCUGAAGGAGUAUCGGAUCUGCAUGCCGCUCACCGUGGACGAGUACAAAAUCGGACAGCUGUACAUGAUCAGCAAGCACAGCCAUGAGCAGAGCGACCGAGGAGAGGGAGUGGAGGUCGUCCAGAAUGAGCCCUUCGAAGACCCUCACCACGGCAACGGGCAGUUCACGGAGAAGCGGGUGUAUCUCAACAGCAAACUGCCUAGUUGGGCUAGAGCUGUUGUCCCCAAAAUAUUUUAUGUUACAGAGAAGGCUUGGAACUAUUAUCCCUACACAAUUACAGAAUACACAUGCUCCUUCCUGCCGAAGUUCUCCAUUCACAUAGAAACCAAGUAUGAGGACAACAAAGGAAGCAAUGACAGCAUUUUUGAUAAUGAAGCCAAAGACAUAGAGAGAGAAGUUUGCUUUAUUGAUAUCGCCUGCGACGAAAUUCCAGAACGCUACUACAAAGAAUCUGAGGAUCCUAAACAUUUCAAGUCAGAGAAGACAGGGCGGGGCCAGCUAAGGGAAGGCUGGAGAGAUAGCCAUCAGCCCAUCAUGUGCUCCUACAAGCUGGUGACCGUGAAGUUCGAGGUCUGGGGGCUUCAGACCAGAGUGGAACAGUUCGUACACAAGGUGGUCCGAGACAUUCUGCUGAUUGGACAUAGACAGGCUUUUGCCUGGGUUGAUGAGUGGUAUGACAUGACAAUGGAUGAAGUCCGCGAAUUCGAACGAGCCACUCAGGAAGCCACCAACAAGAAAAUCGGCGUUUUCCCACCUGCCAUUUCCAUCUCAAGCAUUCCCCUGCUGCCUUCCUCUGUCCGCAGUGCCCCUUCUAGCGCUCCGUCCACUCCUCUCUCUACAGAUGCACCCGAAUUUCUGUCCGUUCCCAAAGAUCGGCCCCGGAAAAAGUCUGCCCCAGAAACUCUCACACUUCCAGACCCUGAGAAAAAAGCCACCCUGAAUUUACCUGGCAUGCACUCUUCAGAUAAGCCAUGUCGGCCCAAAUCAGAGUAACUUCAGAUGAAUAUCUCACGGGGUAUUAUAUUUUCAUCUGGGUUUUUUUUUUUUUUAAACAAUCUUCUGAUAUAGGGAAAGACUGCUUUGUCACUAAACAUGUUCCUUUGACCUCUCUGAGUGUGCAUGUGGUUAAGUAAUUUCACAUAUAAUAUGAUUCCCUCUGUAUGCCACGUAUUACAUGUAAAAUGUAAGCUGUCCAAAGGACAGAAGGAAUCUUCUGCAGCACAGCCGUAAGCCAGGGAGGAAGCCUUGCUACUGGGCCUUUGAUGAGAUUGGCACGGACUUCAAGCAUAACUAAAUAAAAACUUUGCACCACUUUCUUAUGGGGUGUGGUAACAUAGUGAAGUCAGUUUCCUCCCAUCAAACCUGAAAUUCUCAAAGAACACUCUCAGGCAUAACAUAUCUAAUUAUUAAAUUUCGAACUGCUGAUCACCAAUACUUGAAUACCAGUAGUGACUGAGACUCCUAGUUUGGUUAGUCUGACUCAGGAUUGGGGCCUAAUUAACUCUUGAAAUUUUUGAAAAUUUUAAUUCUCAACCUAUAGAGGCUCCAAGUGCAAUUAAUGAUAACUUCUUUAUACCUUUCUCAGAAUUUAAUAAAGAGUCCACUUGUUUUUUGUCUUGAGAACUUGCCCCUUGGUGCCCCUGUAAGGGCCUCAGAAAUCUUUAAGAAUUGCAUGGAUGAAUGUGACCAUAACUGACUGGUUUCAGGAAUGGUUUAGAUUAAGAGACAAGACUCCAGAUGAGGCAAAUAUAAUUUUUCUCUACAGGUACCAAUACACCUUGACUUGUCAGCUUCCGUCACCCAUUGAGAUUCUCAGAAUUUGCAAUUAAUUGAAUAGAAUUCAUCAAAGAAGUUCAAGGGUAGCGUAAGCUAACUGGCUUUCACACUGUCAGCCUGUCUGGUGCGUGAACCAUCCCACACCUUGCUUUGCUCCUACUAACAUCCAGACUUCCCUGGAACAGAUUGCCCACCGCUAGACCUUAGGAAAGACUCAUUCUCUUGCUCUUUAACUCAACAUCCAAAUACUGGCAAUGGGGCAGAAAUCCAGUGAAUGCUGUCAAGUGGGAGCAGAGAAUGAGCGGAAUUGCUGACUCCUGUUUGUAGACUGAAGAGGAGGAGUGAUGAGAAACGCCCCUCGGUCUAGCUUUCUUUUCUGCCCUGCACAGGGUGGCAAUGCAAGAGAGGAAUCAAGGUUGAAAGGCGGCAAGACCAUCCAUCAAAGUGGCAGGACGAAUUCUCCAGUCUGAGGAGACCUAUCACCUUUGCACCUCACUGCCUUUAAACACAGAAGGGAGGGCCAGCAGAAUCUCAGCACUGACGCUUGGCCCUCACGAAAGGACAAAAGGAUGAGAACAAGGUCAUUGGGCAACUCCAAGGCCCAUGCCCCAGCCAGCUUUCCUGACCGUAACCUCCAGCCUCAGGAAAGGGACCUUUCCAAAACACAGAUUCCAAAGAAAACAAGACAGACCAAGGAGCGUCCUCUCCAGUGGACCCUGCCUGCUUCGCGCUGUCCGUGCUCGGCACUCUGUGUGGUGUCUUUCAGAUCGAUAUCUCUUCCCAAGGAGCAAGUGCAGGGCCCCCAUGAGCCCUGCACCGACGUGUUCUAAGUCCUAGGUCAGACUGUCAAGAUCAUUUACCUAUAGGUUGAUAUUUAGCUUGAAGAAAAAAAAUUAAAAAAUUUAAAAAAAGGAAGAACUCAAAGGAAACCAGUUGCAAAUACCUUAGAUCAACAGUGCAUCCCUUUCCCAGGAACGAUGGUGUUGUACUGAGACACCUUCUUUGCAUGGUAUGGAAGCAUGAUUUUUGCUUGUGGGAACACUUAGUCUUUGAUCAAACCUCUCACAUUGCUCAGUGGUUCCCUUUCCGCGCAGUAGUACUUCCCGAGAAUGUUUGACUUUAGAAAGCGAAAUUCUAGUUUCAGAAGACACUGAGCUAGCAUAUGCGUUGGCUUCCGCCACAAGCCGACAUCGGGGUGGGGGUGGGAUCAUUAUUUUCGAGCAGAGCAAAUUGAUUUCAUGCAGGUUGUUAACACAUCUGCCGCCUCAUUUUUCCCAUGAACAACAUUGCUCUUUUCCCUUUCUAGAAAGUAGCUUCUGCCAUCAAGGUCAAUGAUUCUAUAUGCUUUCGAGAGCUCAUUUCUGAUGUCCUUUUGUGAGCGCUCUUUUAUAGCCAGCAGAACACAGCCUUCCACCGCCAAGCUAGCCACGACAGUGUGAUCCUUAGCGUGUGCUCUUAAAGCAUGUUCUGUUUUUCUGCCUACAUGUGGACGUUAACAAAAGGGGAGUGUGUGCAGAUAUUCCUUCAGCUGCUUCAGCUAUUCAAUCCAGUCAUCACGAGGCAUAAAUGACUUCAAUACUUCAUACAUUUUGGUUUUCGGGUGUUCUUUCACAUCCUUUACACAUGCAUUUGUUAUUGUGGGAGAUAAGCCUGCGAUGAACGUGUACAUAGAACAUGAAUAAUUCGUAGAAGGGUGGAAACUAAGUGGCCGCAUGAUGGAAAUUUAGAAGAAAAAAAGAAGCAGACGCUUGAAAUUGCUAAGCAUGUUUGGGGGAAAAAAAAUAGAAUCUUUAACUCAGUGCCUCUGUUUGCAAUGUGGAAACCUUCAACUUUAUUCACCAAAAUUGUAUUAUACAUGUAUAUAUAUAAAUAUAGUAUAGUGAAUCAGACACCACUAGUUUUCAGUCUCCUGUAGCCAAAUUGAAAUAAAUAACCCAUGAUUAACACUUAUGUUCACCCCAUCUUCAUCUCUGAUGUUGGUGGAGGUCAUUGAAAGGAUGGUAAAUUUCAUUACUUGGGGUAGAGUUCAACUAUGGACCGUCCCGCGCUUUUCGUUGGCUGGAGCACGGCUUUCUUGCUUUGGCUAUGCUCUCCUGGGGUAAGAAGGUUUCGGGGUUUAUUGCAUAAGAUUUGUCAGAAAUCACCUCUGAAGGUCAUUGGCGUUCCCACUGCACGGUUGUAAUAAGAUAAAUUAAGGGCAAAGGGUAAGGACAGAGUGGGACGUGUUUAGUUAACCAUCCUUACACGGAAACCAUCUGGGUUCGCAGGUGAACUAAUCUGUAUACCCUCUCUUACGGUUUUUGCAUCUGUGUGUGGGGGAAAGGGUUUUAAUUCAUUUGCAGAUAUUUAUUGGCCAUGUUUUUGGUUGUGAAAAAUCUCUUAAGUAGCACAGUUGUGGGGGUAUAAAACAGAUGGAAAACACACACAUACACACACAAUACCCCCAAAAGUAAUUCUGCCAUUUUCUUUCUGGACAUUGUAGUCAACAGUGAACUAAGAUUAGAUUCUGACACAUCUUGAUCAAUCAUUUUUCUGUGAAGGUUUCAGGGCUAAUGUGAUUAUGUAUAUUCUUCAGUUCCACUUUCUUUAGCUUUUCUUCAUGGAUCAGAGACAACAAGGUUAGUCCCCAAUAGGUCACUGACUGGCUUAGGUGAGUAAGAAUUUGACUUUGAAGAAGGGCCGGAAUAUAACUGAUUCUACAUAUAAUGUGUAAUCUGAUCAUAGAAGUUGUCUCGAAGUUUUAGUACCUUUCUGAUGAUCUGACUCAGUAGAUUAGGUGACAGUCUGUCAUCUAGGCAGUCAUUCUUGAAAUAAAAAAAAAAGAGUCAGUUCAAUGACUGCAAUUUGAUCAUAAAGUGAAACCCUUCGUUCUUGCUGAAACCGAAAUGUUACGCAGUAGCACAAGGUUGGCAGGCUGAGGCGAAACCUACCCCAUUCUUCUCCUCUGUUCUGCCUUUAAAACAAUCUGUUAGCGUUUGAACUAUAAGUAUUUAAGCUUUUUAGGAGUUAGUGCAAUAAGAGAAUGUGAAUAUGUCGGGAACUUCUCAGAUGCCAUUAUUAAUUGUAAUUUUGUUGUUAAAUUAACAAAUGCUUUAGGAUUAAGCCUCUUGAUGUUUUUGCUUUAAAUCGAAAGCAUGUCUGUUCAAUUCCAAGUCUCUCUGAGUUUCUGUGUAUCACCAAGAAGAGGUUCUUUCAUUCAAUGUUGUCCCUAUGCCACUGACACGUCGCUUCAAGUGUAACUCUUAGUGUUUCCAUUUUGAGCUGGGAUCGCGAUUGGUUACGUUAGUCAAUACACCACUGCCACUGCGGAAGGACCAAGUUUUGGAACGCACAGUGUUACCGACACAAGCAGAGGAGACAAGGGGAUCCUCACAUACGCCAUCCUCUGUGUCAUUUCAUGGCUGUUCUGUGUUCCCCCCAGUUAUUUAUUAUUGUUAAUAACUUCCUUUUUCUUACAUUCUGUUGUAAAUAAAGUACAAAGCAAUCUUCUUUUCAA